GACGAACGCUGGCGGCGUGCUUAACACAUGCAAGUCGAACGGGCCUGUCUUCUUUUUUGGGGGGUGGGUUGAGUGGCGAACGGGUGAGUAUCACGUGAGUAACCUGCCCUUCGGUCCUGGAUAACCGCUUGAAAGGGCGGCUAAUACGGGGUGGUCCGGUUGGUCCGCAUGGGCUGGUCGGGAUAGAUUCACCGUUUUUGGUGUUUCGGCGGGGGAUGGGCUCGCGGCCUAUCAGCUUGUUGGUGGGGUGAUGGCCUACCAAGGCGGUGACGGGUAGCCGGCCUGAGAGGGUGGGCGGCCACACUGGGACUGAGAUACGGCCCAGACUCCUGCGGGAGGCAGCAGUGGGGGGUAUUGCACAAUGGGCGGAAGCCUGAUGCAGCGACGUCGCGUGAGGGAUGGAGGCCUUCGGGUUGUGAACCUCUGUUUCCGGUGGUGAAGGCCCUGUCCGUGUGGUGGGGUUGACGGUAGCCGGGGAUGAAGCGCCGGCUAACUACGUG
This 500-nucleotide ribosomal RNA is filed under the name uncultured bacterium. RNAcentral describes it as "partial 16S ribosomal RNA". It matches the Rfam family "Bacterial small subunit ribosomal RNA", at positions 28 to 507 of the family's 1533-position model. The record is from RNAcentral.